This 953-nucleotide ribosomal RNA is filed under the name Staphylococcus aureus. RNAcentral's name for it is "partial 23S ribosomal RNA". It matches the Rfam family "Bacterial large subunit ribosomal RNA", at positions 1919 to 2873 of the family's 2925-position model. Lineage: Bacteria; Bacillati; Bacillota; Bacilli; Caryophanales; Staphylococcaceae. The record is from RNAcentral.
CCCAGUAAACGGCGGCCGUAACUAUAACGGUCCUAAGGUAGCGAAAUUCCUUGUCGGGUAAGUUCCGACCCGCACGAAAGGCGUAACGAUUUGGGCACUGUCUCAACGAGAGACUCGGUGAAAUCAUAGUACCUGUGAAGAUGCAGGUUACCCGCGACAGGACGGAAAGACCCCGUGGAGCUUUACUGUAGCCUGAUAUUGAAAUUCGGCACAGCUUGUACAGGAUAGGUAGGAGCCUUUGAAACGUGAGCGCUAGCUUACGUGGAGGCGCUGGUGGGAUACUACCCUAGCUGUGUUGGCUUUCUAACCCGCACCACUUAUCGUGGUGGGAGACAGUGUCAGGCGGGCAGUUUGACUGGGGCGGUCGCCUCCUAAAAGGUAACGGAGGCGCUCAAAGGUUCCCUCAGAAUGGUUGGAAAUCAUUCAUAGAGUGUAAAGGCAUAAGGGAGCUUGACUGCGAGACCUACAAGUCGAGCAGGGUCGAAAGACGGACUUAGUGAUCCGGUGGUUCCGCAUGGAAGGGCCAUCGCUCAACGGAUAAAAGCUACCCCGGGGAUAACAGGCUUAUCUCCCCCAAGAGUUCACAUCGACGGGGAGGUUUGGCACCUCGAUGUCGGCUCAUCGCAUCCUGGGGCUGUAGUCGGUCCCAAGGGUUGGGCUGUUCGCCCAUUAAAGCGGUACGCGAGCUGGGUUCAGAACGUCGUGAGACAGUUCGGUCCCUAUCCGUCGUGGGCGUAGGAAAUUUGAGAGGAGCUGUCCUUAGUACGAGAGGACCGGGAUGGACAUACCUCUGGUGUACCAGUUGUCGUGCCAACGGCAUAGCUGGGUAGCUAUGUGUGGACGGGAUAAGUGCUGAAAGCAUCUAAGCAUGAAGCCCCCCUCAAGAUGAGAUUUCCCAACUUCGGUUAUAAGAUCCCUCAAAGAUGAUGAGGUUAAUAGGUUCGAGGUGGAAG